RNAcentral lists this non-coding RNA (21 nucleotides) under Caenorhabditis elegans. Lineage: Eukaryota; Metazoa; Nematoda; Chromadorea; Rhabditida; Rhabditidae. The record is from RNAcentral.
UCUCCGAAUCUAUCACUGUCC